GGCUGGUCUGAGGGCAGUGGUGUUUACAACUAUUGAUCACAAUCAGUUACAGAUUUCUUCGUUCCUGCUCAUCAUUUGAUUAGUCUUAAAUCACCUGCUGCUUCAUUUGAUUAGUCUUAA
Molecule: unclassified non-coding RNA, 120 nt
Organism: Nomascus leucogenys (northern white-cheeked gibbon)
Lineage: Eukaryota; Metazoa; Chordata; Mammalia; Primates; Hylobatidae
Rfam family: Y RNA
About the family: Y RNAs are components of the Ro ribonucleoprotein particle (Ro RNP), in association with Ro60 and La proteins.
Source: Ensembl